GUUCAUAUAGUUUUAAAACAAACAUUAGAUUGUGGCUCUAAAAAUAGGGGUUUGAACCCCCUUAUAAACC
This 70-nucleotide transfer RNA is filed under the name Palea steindachneri (wattle-necked softshell turtle). RNAcentral describes it as "tRNA-His". It matches the Rfam family "tRNA". From Rfam's summary of the family: Transfer RNA (tRNA) molecules are approximately 80 nucleotides in length. Their secondary structure includes four short double-helical elements and three loops (D, anti-codon, and T loops). Lineage: Eukaryota; Metazoa; Chordata; Testudines; Trionychidae. The record is from RNAcentral.